AAAGGUGCGUCAGUUCGGAUUGGGGGCUGCAACUCGACCCCAUGAAGUUGGAAUUGCUAGUAAUCGCGGGUCAGCUAUACCGCGGUGAAUACGUUCUCAAGUCUUGUACUCACCGCCCGUCAACUCAAGGGAGAUGGGAAUACCCGAAGCGUCGCAUCGCGGCACCACGGUAAGCUCAUUGACAGGGAGUAAGUCGUAACAAGGCACGGGUAGCGGAAGCUGCUCGUGGAGUAAUUCAAUU
This 241-nucleotide ribosomal RNA is filed under the name Candidatus Parcubacteria bacterium. RNAcentral's name for it is "partial 16S ribosomal RNA". It matches the Rfam family "Bacterial small subunit ribosomal RNA", at positions 1279 to 1533 of the family's 1533-position model. The record is from RNAcentral. Lineage: Bacteria; Candidatus Parcubacteria.